This 1007-nucleotide long non-coding RNA is filed under the name Ananas comosus (pineapple). RNAcentral describes it as "long non-coding RNA (ACOM_LNC034553)". The record is from RNAcentral. Lineage: Eukaryota; Viridiplantae; Streptophyta; Magnoliopsida; Poales; Bromeliaceae.
CAAGGUUUGGAGUGGCGACGGUGGUCAAGGUGGGUGCUGUCAGUGCCGGAGGAAGGGGACGAGGAGGGGUGCUGUACGAGGGUCAAUUAGGAGAGUUUAUUGGGAGAGUUAAUUGAGAGAGUUAAUUAUGGUGGAAGAGUUAAUUGGAAGAGUUAAUUAGGGUGGAAGAGUUAAUUGGGAGAGUUAAUUAGGGUGGAAUAGUUAAUAUCUGAGAUUAAUUGGAAUAAAUUAGUCCUUUGAUCUGCACAAAUCUAAGUUUAUUAAUAUUUUUAAAUAUAUAACUCUUAUAUAUUAUUAAUAUAUAUUUAUUAUAAUUUUAAAUAUAUAUAUUUAAUAUAUAUAUAAAAAUUAUAAUAAUAAUAUAUAUAGUAUAUUAAUUAUUAUAUAUUUAUUAUAUAGUCGAAUUUUUUAUCCCGAAUUUUUAAUUGGUGAACGCAUAAUACCCGUAAAAAUCACGUAUCCGAAUAAUUGCCAAAUCCGAUUUUUAGCCGUAUUUUUCAACAAAUUUAAAAAUUAAAAGACGAAUUUUUUCCGAAUUUUAUCCGUACCGAAUUUUUGCCGAAUCCGAAUUAACUAACUAUGCCUCCAACCACCAAGGUUUGUUUAGCUGCGAUCGAUCUCAUCCGUUCAUCUGCUUGCUCCCGACGUGCUUAAUUAAUUAAUUGAUAUUUGAAGGGCAAAUAAGAAAAUUAUUCGCUAUAUAAAGGGUAUAUCAGAAAAGUUAGUUACGGUAGAAGGGUAUAUCAGAAUGGGCAAAAUUAUAAUUUUACAGAGAUAACGGCAGCUCACUAACGGAACUUAACUCCAGGGGUAUAUUAGAAAGACUUGGAACAUAAGAAGGGUAUUUUCAAUAUUAGCCUUCUAAGAGGGGAAAAUAAGAAAACCGAAAACUUUUCAGGGGUAUAUAGGCAAUUGCCCCUUACAUUUUUUAUUCUUUUUGCUUCCAAAUACAACCAACUAUUAAUACAAUUUAUAUAUUUUCUUUCUUUUCUUUUCUACACCCCUAA